RNAcentral lists this ribosomal RNA (942 nucleotides) under Physisporinus sp. CGW-2022f. RNAcentral's name for it is "partial large subunit ribosomal RNA". It matches the Rfam family "Eukaryotic large subunit ribosomal RNA", at positions 23 to 949 of the family's 3401-position model. The record is from RNAcentral. Lineage: Eukaryota; Fungi; Basidiomycota; Agaricomycetes; Polyporales; Meripilaceae.
AAACCCGCUGAAACUUAAGCAUAUCAAUAAGCGGAGGAAAAGAAACUAACAAGGAUUCCCCUAGUAACUGCGAGUGAAGCGGGAAAAGCUCAAAUUUAAAAUCUGGCAGUCUUUGGCUGUCCGAGUUGUAAUCUGGAGAAGUGCUUUCUGCGCUGGACCGUGUACAAGUCUCUUGGAAUAGAGCGUCAUAGAGGGUGAGAAUCCCGUCUUUGACACGGACUACCAGUGCUUUGUGAUGUGCUUUCAAAGAGUCGAGUUGUUUGGGAAUGCAGCUCAAAAUGGGUGGUAAAUUCCAUCUAAAGCUAAAUAUUGGCGAGAGACCGAUAGCGAACAAGUACCGUGAGGGAAAGAUGAAAAGCACUUUGGAAAGAGAGUUAAACAGUACGUGAAAUUGCUGAAAGGGAAACACUUGAAGUCAGUCGCGUUGUUCAGAACUCAGCCUGGCCUUGGCUUGGUGCAUUUUCUGAAUGACGGGCCAGCAUCAAUUUUGACUGUUGGAUAAAGGCCAGAGAAAUGUGGCUCCUUUGGGAGUGUUAUAGUCUCUGGUUGCAUACAAUGGUUGGGAUUGAGGAACUCAGCAUGCCUUUACGGUCGGGGUUCGCCCACGUUCAUGCUUAGGAUGCUGGCGUAAUGGCUUUAAAUGACCCGUCUUGAAACACGGACCAAGGAGUCUAACAUGCCUGCGAGUAUUUGGGUGGAAAACCCGAGUGCGCAAUGAAAGUGAAAGUUGGGAUCUCUGUCGUGGGGAGCACCGACGCCCGGACCAGACCUUCUGUGACGGAUCCGCGGUAGAGCAUGUAUGUUGGGACCCGAAAGAUGGUGAACUAUGCCUGAAUAGGGUGAAGCCAGAGGAAACUCUGGUGGAGGCUCGUAGCGAUUCUGACGUGCAAAUCGAUCGUCAAAUUUGGGUAUAGGGGCGAAAGACUAAUCGACCUUUUGUCC